RNAcentral lists this ribosomal RNA (497 nucleotides) under uncultured bacterium. Its description in RNAcentral is "partial 16S ribosomal RNA". It matches the Rfam family "Bacterial small subunit ribosomal RNA", at positions 28 to 507 of the family's 1533-position model. The record is from RNAcentral.
GACGAACGCUGGCGGCGUGCCUAAUACAUGCAAGUUGAGCGCUGAAGGUUGGUACUUGUACCAACUGGAUGAGCAGAGAACGGGUGAGUAACGCGUGGGGAAUCUGCCUUUGAGCGGGGGACAACAUUUGGAAACGAAUGCUAAUAGCGCAUAAAAACUUUAAACACAAGUUUUAAGUUUGAAAGAUGCAAUUGCAUCACUCAAAGAUGAUCCCGCGUUGUAUUAGCUAGUUGGUGAGGUAAAGGCUCACCAAGGCGAUGAUACAUAGCAGACCUGAGAGGUUGAUCAGCCACAUUGGGACUGAGACACGGCCCAAACGCCUACGGGAGGCAGCAGGAGGGAAACUUCGGCAAUGGACGAAAGUCGGACCGAGCAACGCCGCGUGAGUGAAGAAGGUUGUCGGAUCGUAAAACUCGGUUGGUAGAGAAGAACGUUGGUGAGAGUGGAAAGCUCAUCAAGUGACGGUAACUACCCAGAAAGGGACGGCUAACUACGUG